AUUGAACGCUAGCGGGAUGCUUUACACAUGCAAGUCGAACGAGUGGCGGACGGGUGAGUAAUAUCUUGGAACGUGCCCAGUAGCGGGGGAUAACUACUCGAAAUAGUGGCUAAUACCGCAUCCCAUUGGCUCGGCCGAUAUCGGAUUAGCUAGUUGGUGGGGUAAAGACUAACCAAGGCAACGAUCCGUAGCUGGUUUGAGAGGACGACCAGCCACACGGGGACAGAGACACGGCCCAGACGCCUACGGGAGGCAGCAGUGGGGAAUGUUGGACAAGGGGGGAAACCCUGAUCCAGCCAUCCCGCGUGUAUGAGAAGGCCUUCGGGUUGUAAUGUACUUUUGGCAGAGAAGCGGUAUCUGCAGAAUAAGCACCGGCUAACUACGUGCCAGCAGCCGCGGUAAUUC
This 405-nucleotide ribosomal RNA is filed under the name uncultured bacterium. Its description in RNAcentral is "partial 16S ribosomal RNA". It matches the Rfam family "Bacterial small subunit ribosomal RNA", at positions 30 to 526 of the family's 1533-position model. The record is from RNAcentral.